AGUGAACGCUGGCGGUAGGCCUAACACAUGCAAGUCGAACGGCAGCACAGUACUUGCUUGCUCUUUCGGGGGGCGAGUGGUGGAUGGUGCCUGAAUAUCUCCGUAUUUACGUUUUCUUACGUGCUAACAUAGGGGCACUUACGCCAUUACCGCAUACGACCUACGGGUGAAAUCUUCGGACCUCAGGCUCUCCGCUGAUCCGAGGUCGGAUUAGCUAGUUGGUGGGGUAAAGGCCCACCAAGGCGACGAUCCGUAACUGGUCUGAGAGGAUGAUCAGUCACACUGGAACUGAGACACGGUCCAGACUCCUACGGGAGGCAGCAGUGGGGAAUAUUGGACAAUGGGCGAAAGCCUGAUCCAGCCAUACCGCGUGGGUGAAGAAGGCCUUCGGAUUGUAAAGCCCUUUAGUUGGGAAAGAAGGGCAGCAAGUUAAUACCCCGCUGUUCUGACGUUACCAAAAGAAUAAGCACCGGCUAACUUCGUG
This 484-nucleotide ribosomal RNA is filed under the name uncultured bacterium. RNAcentral describes it as "partial 16S ribosomal RNA". It matches the Rfam family "Bacterial small subunit ribosomal RNA", at positions 29 to 507 of the family's 1533-position model. The record is from RNAcentral.